CCAGGAUUUUUCAAUUAAGCCAAAAAAUUAAGUUAAAAAAAAAAAUUCAUAUGUUGUUGUUUUGCCCCAGAAGGUGGACUUAGUGAUAGGUCAGUAAGUCUUACUGAAGCUCCUAUGUUAGUACAAUUCUUUGUCUGUUGCCUUGCCAUAAUUUCAUUCACGUAAAGGCGUCCUGCAUGGUCCAUAAAUGUGUUACAAAUAGGAACCAUGCCAUCCAGUUAUAGUUAUUCCAAAAAUGAAAUCAGAGGAGCUUCACCCUCUUCAUUCAUUUUAGAGUUGCUAGUCACUGUUCC
Pelobates cultripes (western spadefoot toad) is the source of this 293-nucleotide non-coding RNA. Lineage: Eukaryota; Metazoa; Chordata; Amphibia; Anura; Pelobatidae. The record is from the annotation of a GenBank genome assembly.